AGACCAUGAUGUGGGCAUUUUCUUAGUAGGUCUUUGUAUGUCUCACACGCUUCAUAUAAUAAUUCCAUCUCGAACUGAGCAAAGGUUGUGAUAUCAUUCCUCAACUU
This 107-nucleotide small nucleolar RNA is filed under the name Citrus sinensis (sweet orange). Its description in RNAcentral is "Plant small nucleolar RNA R71". It matches the Rfam family "Plant small nucleolar RNA R71". From Rfam's summary of the family: R71 is a member of the C/D box family of snoRNAs containing the C (UGAUGA) and D (CUGA) box motifs. Multiple nearly identical copies of this snoRNA have been identified in Arabidopsis, and it is thought to function as a 2'-O-ribose methylation guide for 18S ribosomal RNA. Lineage: Eukaryota; Viridiplantae; Streptophyta; Magnoliopsida; Sapindales; Rutaceae. The record is from Rfam by way of RNAcentral.